GGCUCAGGACGAACGCUGGCGGCGUGCCUAAUACAUGCAAGUCGAACGGUCUUUCUAUGGAAGCUUGCUCCACUGAGAAGAUAGUGGCGAACGGGUGAGUAACACGUGGGUAACCUGCCCAUAAGAGGGGGGAGUAACAUCCGGAAACGGGUGCUAAUACCGCAUAGUUUCUUGAUCGCAUGAUUGGGAAAGGAAAGACGGCCUUUGUGCUGUCGCUUAUGGAUGGACCCGCGGCGUAUUAGUUAGUUGGUGAGGUAACGGCUCACCAAGACGAUGAUACGUAGCCGACCUGAGAGGGUGAUCGGCCACAUUGGGACUGAGACACGGCCCAAACUCCUACGGGAGGCAGCAGUAGGGAAUCUUCCGCAAUGGACGAAAGUCUGACGGAGCAACGCCGCGUGAGUGAAGAAAAGGUUUUCGGAUCGUAAAACUCUGUUGUCAGAGAAGAACAAGUUGGAGAGUAACUGCUCCAGCCUUGACGGUAUCUGACCAGAAAGCCACGGCUAACUACGUGCCAGCCGCAGC
RNAcentral lists this ribosomal RNA (525 nucleotides) under uncultured bacterium. RNAcentral describes it as "bacterial SSU rRNA". It matches the Rfam family "Bacterial small subunit ribosomal RNA", at positions 21 to 518 of the family's 1533-position model. The record is from RNAcentral.